RNAcentral lists this ribosomal RNA (826 nucleotides) under uncultured Bacillota bacterium. Its description in RNAcentral is "bacterial SSU rRNA". It matches the Rfam family "Bacterial small subunit ribosomal RNA", at positions 52 to 886 of the family's 1533-position model. The record is from RNAcentral. Lineage: Bacteria; Bacillati; Bacillota.
GACAUGCAAGUCGAACGAACUUAACCAUUAGUUUACUAUUGGAGCGGUUAGUGGCGGACUGGUGAGUAACACGUAAGCAACCUGCCUAUCAGAGGGGAACAACAGUUAGAAAUGACUGCUAAUACCGCAUAUGCCUUGAGUAUCACAUGGUACAAAAGGGAAAGGAGCAAUCCGCUGAUAGAUGGGCUUGCGUCUGAUUAGAUAGUUGGUGAGGUAACGGCCCACCAAGUCGACGAUCAGUAGCCGGACUGAGAGGUUGAACGGCCACAUUGGGACUGAGAUACGGCCCAGACUCCUACGGGAGGCAGCAGUCGGGAAUAUUGCGCAAUGGAGGAAACUCUGACGCAGUGACGCCGCGUGCAGGAAGAAGGUUUUCGGAUUGUAAACUGCUUUAGACAGGGAAGAAACAAGACAGUACCUGUAGAAUAAGCUCCGGCUAACUACGCGCCAGCAGCCGCGGUAAUACGUAGGGAGCAAGCGUUAUCCGGAUUUAUUGGGUGUAAAGGGUGCGUAGACGGGAAAUUAAGUUAGUUGUGAAAUCCCUCGGCUUAACUGAGGAACUGCAACUAAAACUGGUUUUCUUGAGUGCUGGAGAGGAAAGUGGAAUUCCUAGUGUAGCGGUGAAAUGCGUAGAUAUUAGGAGGAACACCAGUGGCGAAGGCGACUUUCUGGACAGUAACUGACGUUGAGGCACGAAAGUGUGGGGAGCAAACAGGAUUAGAUACCCUGGUAGUCCACACCGUAAACGAUGGAUACUAGGUGUAGGGUGUGAUAAACAUUCUGUGCCGUCGCAAAAGCAGUAAGUAUCCCACCUGGGGAGUACGGC